Molecule: long non-coding RNA, 2876 nt
Filed under: Bemisia tabaci
Lineage: Eukaryota; Metazoa; Arthropoda; Insecta; Hemiptera; Aleyrodidae
Description: lncRNA ENSSWEETPG013738
Source: RNAcentral
GUUUGUGGACUUAAAUGGUCACCAGAUGGGAAAUAUCUAGCUAGUGGUGGCAAUGAUAACAUGUUGUAUAUCUGGUCAGGCAUUCCUGGUCAAGCUUCAUAUCAAACAACACCACUUUAUAGUUUAAGUGCUCAUCAAGCAGCAGUAAAGGCACUAGCUUGGUGUCCAUGGCCCCGCACAUCCUGGCCAGUGGUGGUGGCACGGCUGAUAGACACAUCCGAUUCUGGAAUUGCAAUAUAGGCUCUGUUUCAACUCCAUCGAUACCAAGUCUCAGGUAUGCUUGAACUGAAUGGGUUGUCUUUGGUUAUUAUGUAUUUCCUUUUUUAGUUUGAAUGAAGGUCUUAGAAAUUGACAAGAAGAGGUAAAGCACUAGACUGCAAAAACGCUUUUCUUGAUCAAAGUUAGGAUGUUUACAAGUCUCUAAAAGUCAGUUAUUUUUAGGAUAGCUGUAAUUAUCAGAGAGGAGAAAUUUCAGAAAUGUGUCCCAAAGGUCUGGGAGAAAUAUUUCAAAACUUUAUACAAGUGGCUCAGUUUAACGGAUUGGACUACAUUUUGCAAUAAAAAACAACAAUUCUGACCCCUAGAUAAGAACACCCAUCUGCAUAGGGAAACUAAUGGCACAUAUGUUGUUUCUUAAAAGAAGCCACAAUUGCAGUCCUAAUUGCAAAAUGUGGUCCCAUCUCUCCAAGAAGAGCAUAAAAAUAAAUAUUUGUCAGCAGGUCUCAAGAAAAUAAUCAGAAACAAAUUAAAUUCCUACAUAGUGAUCAAAUGUUAGAAACUAACAGUUCAUCUGCAUACACAUUUAUUCAUAUUUUUUUAAAAACAAAUGUCUCCAACAGUUAUAGGUCUAUUGGCUUUUCUUUACCUAUUGCAAGGGGCAAACUCGCUUUUAAAAUCGUCACCGAUUGAUCAGUACUAAUUAGGAUCUUGACUGAUGGAGCAGGUUAGGGAAAACCCGAAGAAAGUCAACCAAUAAAUGGUUUGCAAUUUCCAUUUUUCACACUUUUUUGACAUGAUAGCAAGUCUAACUGUCCAAUUUUUUCUUUUAGGUUUGCGGUAUUUUGUGGUCAUCUGCUUUCAAGGAAAUCAUAUCUGGACAUGGCUUUGCAAACAACCAGUUGAUUAUUUGGAAAUAUCCCAGUAUGGCAAAAGUGGCAGAAUUAACGGGUCACACAGCACGUGUUUUACAUCUUGCAAUGUCACCAGACAAUACAACUGUGCUCUCUGCAGGAGCCGAUGAGACUCUUCGCCUAUGGAAAUGUUUUGUCCCAGAAUCCACUAAAAAGAAAGAAGUCAAAGAUUCCGCACCCAUUCACAGCAUUUUGAAACAAAGUAUCCGUUAAUUAUAAUCAUGUUUUUCCACUUUAUUUGUUUCUUGUGAUUUGUAUAGACUGAGCUUAUCAGAGUCAGCAUCCAUUUGACACAGCUGGUAAAAUAGGGAUGAAAAUUCAUUCAUCUACCUUUUCUUGUUUUAGUAGUGAAGAUAUGCCGACCACUCAUUAUUUAUGGACAAAAUAUGGUUAUGACAGACUGCUUUGCAUUGAUUAUAUGUAAUCCCAUCUUGGCAGCUCUGUUAAAUUUUUGCUGAUUGAAGUGCUUAAUUUUUCUAUUCUCAUUCUCAUUUAUUUUUCAUCCAGCUCUUUAUGUAAAUUAUUUAUUUUUCUUCUUCUUUUUAAAGACUGUUUUUUAUAUUUGACACUGUACUCUUCAACUUUGUAAAUACUCAACAUUCUUUACGGCGAGAUCAAAAAGUCAACCCUCAGCCUAAGGGUGAUUCAAUAAAAACAUUACUUGUUGCUGGUUUUAAUGUGUUUUGUAAUUUUUUUUGAGUUCUUAAAUAAUUUUUUGAAGGUAUAUCAAUUUAAUAACUGCCAGUUAAAAUUAAAUCAAAUAAUUCAUUUUAUCAAUUUUUAUUGUUCAAACUUUACAUGCAUUUUGUAGGAAAGCUCUAAAAUUUAGCCAAAAUAUCGUGGUCCUUGAAUAAAAUUCACAAAAUAUAAUUUACAUUAUGACUUUGUUUAAUUGGAUUUCACAGGACCAUCAUAUUGAUCUGUUACUCAAUUCCUACCAGCCAAUUUGGACAAAAAUCAACGAAAAUCCGUAAAAGCAAGUUUUUUUCUGGAAAAAUUCUAAAACAUCUUCUUUUCUUUGCGAAAAUUUUUCCUCAGAAAGAAAAAUGCGUAAAUAGUGCCGGAUUAUAAUUUUAGUGCAGUGCCCAGACAACGGAAGUUCAAAUCUGCAUGGAGCAUCGAUCAGGAGUCCUAUGAGUUAAAAUAAUAUCUCACAUCACUUUUUUCUUUUUUUUUGUAUCCUAAAUUUAAGUGAAGUGAAUCAAUAAGAAACGUCCUAUCGCAUGAAUUUGAUUCAACGGCCAUUGUGUUAAUUGUUCUUAUGUAUGUCCAUAGUUUUAAGAAAUAUAUUUUUAUACUUUUGUGACAAUUAACAAAUUUUCUCUCUAUUUUUUAAUGAACCCGCCAACGUUUGUACUUUCUUCCUUCAUCUUCCAAAUAUGAAAUAAAUAAAAUAUUUUUUUCCUCUUUUAACUCUCUCCUGUUUUUUCUCUGAUUCUAUAAUGAUUUGUUAUGAGAUAUAUUAAUUUUUUAUUUAAGCUUUAACACAUUGAAAGUCUGUUUUCCCCAAAAGUAAGAGCCUUAUUCUUGUAAUCAUCACAAUUUUUUUUAAGGAAAUCAACAAUGUAAUACAUACUUUUAAUUCACAAUGGAGUAAAUUGAAGGCAAACAUAAGAUUUUGAAAGAAAUAUAAAUUGAUGGCAGGAUUUCUAGUGGUCUGGAAAGUCAGGGAAUUCAACGAUUAGCUUGUCGUCUCAACAACUUCAACUGGUGCUCUUUGAGGAAGUGCAGGCAAUUUUUGAGGGC